Molecule: long non-coding RNA, 452 nt
Organism: Notothenia coriiceps (black rockcod)
Lineage: Eukaryota; Metazoa; Chordata; Actinopteri; Perciformes; Nototheniidae
Exons: 3
Source: RefSeq, a predicted model, not a curated record
AGACAGAGAGAUACUUUAUGUCACAGUCUGCUCCAUCAUUCACCAGUAGUUUUCCAUUCACCUGUCUCACCUGUUAACCACACCUACGUUUUUGCUCACUCUCUUUCUCUACUGCACCCAUUAGCUUUACUGCCAGUAUUUAAACCCUCACCAGACACACACCCGUUGCCAGAUUGUACUUUGCCUUCAUGCUAGUCUUUCACGCGUUUGUUACCAGAUUGCCUACCCGGUUCCGACCCUGCCUGUCCCCGACCUGCCUGCUCUGCCUGAUCCCUGAUCCUGCCUGUCCUUGGACUAUCCUGCCUUGCCUGCUGUCUGACCCUGCCUGUACCUACGCUGACCGCCUCGCCUGCUCCCUGACCCUCUGCCCGGCCCUGACUCACCUUCUGCCCGCUGUCCUCUGGUUUGUUUGCCUGUACAUCAUCCGGUAUCCCUCUGCUCUGGUAUUAUUA